CAUGCAGUCGAGCGGAAGGCCCUUCGGGGUACUCGAGCGGCGAACGGGUGAGUAACACGUGAGUAACCUGCCCUGGACUUUGGGAUAACCCUCGGAAACGGGGGCUAAUACCGGAUACCUCCUUCUGAUCGCAUGGUUGGUUGGGGAAAGUUUUUCGGUCUGGGAUGGGCUCGCGGCCUAUCAGCUUGUUGGUGGGGUGAUGGCCUACCAAGGCGACGACGGGUAGCCGGCCUGAGAGGGCGACCGGCCACACUGGGACUGAGACACGGCCCAGACUCCUACGGGAGGCAGCAGUGGGGAAUAUUGCACAAUGGGCGGAAGCCUGAUGCAGCGACGCCGCGUGAGGGAUGACGGCCUUCGGGUUGUAAACCUCUUUCAGCAGGGACGAAGCGAGAGUGACGGUACCUGCAGAAGAAGCGCCGGCCAACUACGUGCCAGCAGCCGCGGUAAGACGUAGGGCGCGAGCGUUGUCCGGAUUUAUUGGGCGUAAAGAGCUCGUAGGCGGCUUGUCGCGUCGGCUGUGAAAUCCCGUGGCUCAACUGCGGGCUUGCAGCCGAUACGGGCAGGCUAGAGUUCGGUAGGGGAGACUGGAAUUCCUGGUGUAGCGGUGAAAUGCGCAGAUAUCAGGAGGAACACCGGUGGCGAAGGCGGUCUUCUGGUCCGAUACUGACGCUGAGAGCGUAAGC
Molecule: ribosomal RNA, 686 nt
Filed under: Asanoa sp.
Lineage: Bacteria; Bacillati; Actinomycetota; Actinomycetes; Micromonosporales; Micromonosporaceae
Description: bacterial SSU rRNA
Rfam family: Bacterial small subunit ribosomal RNA
Source: RNAcentral